CGUCGUCGUCGUCGUUCAAUCCGACACAAAACGUUUCGACGUUCAUCGGACGGCGAAUCGUCGCCGUUCCUCGUGCCACGCACGGGGCGGCAUGCGGCGCGCGUAAUCAGGUCGCGGCGGACGACAUCCGCGCGCGGAUGAGAGAGAGAGAGAGAGAGAGAGAGAUAUAUAUAUAUAUAUAUAGACAGCGAGGCUGUGUCCCCCGCGCGCCGAACUUUUCGCCGCGGCGGCGCGAACACGUGAGAGGGAUUAUCUCGCGGUCGCGAUAGAGGCGACGGCGCUUCUCGUUACGUAUCACAGAAGAACGGGAGAGAAUCCUCGGUCAUUAAAGCACUCGUCGCGCACUUGUUAUCUCACUUCGUCUUUAACUGCGGCGGCACUUGUAUCGUUUCCGCCUAAACUCCUCCGUGACACCGACAAUGGAGCGAUGACGGAAGUGGACGAUAUAUAGGAGUAAUGCGAAAAUCGGAGAAGAUUCGAUGCGCAGACGAACGCGAUCACGCGGGGGCGAUCGCUUCAAAUUCGUUGGUGCGGCAAUUGCGGUGCGAUUGCGAACGGCUGUCAAUUACAUAUCCCGUCACUGUCGCGCGUUCCGAGGUCAGCGAGCGACUGAGCUCCCCGGUGUAGGAAACAUAGAGAGUGGAAAGUUGCCGCCAGACGACAGACUCGCGCACUUCCCCUACCACGCGCCCCGCGCUGCGCAGUGAUGGAGCGCGAGCGAGACGGCGCUCACUUCGGGGCGAACAAGUGGAAUCAUUGGUAACAGCGGACGGCCAAUCGCGCGUCGACGUUGGCGACGGCGCCAGCGGAAAUAAUCGAACCGUUGUCAUGGCGAUCGAGUGGGGAAGAUCAUCGCGAAGUCGCGGCGUGCAAAGGUGGAGAAACAGAGAAAAAAGAUAUUCCCGCCGACUUUCUCGUAGCUUCCUCGUAAUAGCGAUCGUGAUUGUCGUCGAGUUAACCCCGGCCGAUCGUUUCCACAUGCGCGCAACGUGCAACAACUUGAUGGAAGCAACCGAGACAGUAGCCUAACGGACUCCGGGACUUUUCAACGAAAUGCACUUGUUAGGUCUCGGACAUCCCGUUUAAUCAAAUCGAUUUGCGGCAAAGUCCUCGUCAUCGACCGAAGUCCAUAUUUCUUCCUUCCCGGCGCCACGCAGCACGGUUUUAUCAUGACGAUCAACGUUAUGUGCAGGUCUCCGCCGUUGCAUCAUUGAUGCACACCAAAGGUGGAUCAGGAACAUCGCGGAAUACGGGUCCGAUCGUCGUUUCAUCGCGAGCGGGGCACAGGCAACACACGUAACGGACACGCCGAACGUAUACCGGAUGGGGAUUGCCCCAUGUUCCAAGUAUUACAAGAGCGAUCUUCUGCGUGUCGAGACUGUCGAUGCGGCAAAGAGGCCGUGCACGGGACGUCCCGCGUGAAUCCCGCGUUUCUCAUCCGCUCAAGGUGUGGCGCCAAAGAAUCCGAAGAACGACCUUAGACGCGACCUCGCCUAGGAUCGACAAAAGUUGCACGCACCCACAGUUUAGGUAUAGCCGGAAAAGUAUACUUACGCGGAAUCUAUAAAGAAUCUACAUUCCGAUUGUCAUGCUGAUCCUGCUAGUCAGUGGAUAUAAUUUGCGCCAUAAUAUGUGUAGCUUUGUAUAAUAAUAUAUGUAUAUUAGCUAUUUUUUAGAAAUAGCUUUUCAUGUGUGAAGCCAUAUUUUUCUAUUUAAAUUAUAUCUUCUAUAUAAAUCCUUUUAUGUAAAUAACAAUAUGCAUAGAGAGUCUGUUACCUUGUCAACAGUAGUUACCUCAUUAACAAUGAUAUAAAAUGUAACGUAAUUAAUAAUAUACGACCUGUUAAUAGUCAACUUUUGUCUUAUUUAAAUUUUAUUUCGUAUAAAACAAAUUUUUAAUAAUAAUAUUUCUUUAGAUCUUCCAGAGCAAUAUAUAUUCACUUUUUUUUAUACAUAUAUCAAAACUGUCCAGAAAAAAAGUAGUCGUGUGUUGUCCAGAGAUUAAUUAAGGAAUUUUAAGGAUAAAAACAAUUACGAUUCAAAAAAUUCUUUAUAAACGUUUUUAAUGAGUUAAAUCGACUUCAAGUAUGUGAUUAUAGUAUAUAAAUACAUGACUGAUUAGCGAGCACAAAUACUCGCGCUUCGCCAUGGGACACGUUUCGGUCGCGUAGGCGAUCGACUCGUACAGAGUGUGGGUAGACGAGUUUACAUCGCUCUGCACAACAGAGCCGGUGUGUCCUAUAAGUGUAUCGUCGAACGUAACAGGAAGUAACGUGGUGCGAAUAUUAACGAGCGUGUGCGGGCGCGCACAACGAAAGCGUUUACGGCUCGUUCUCUGCGCUGCACACGCGCGUGGCUUGACGUUUUGCAACACGUGCAACACGCGCGCGCGCGCUGCACUCUUGAUGUUUUCGCACCGUGUUAA
Molecule: long non-coding RNA, 2425 nt
Organism: Formica exsecta
Lineage: Eukaryota; Metazoa; Arthropoda; Insecta; Hymenoptera; Formicidae
Exons: 4
Source: RefSeq, a predicted model, not a curated record